Molecule: long non-coding RNA, 1645 nt
Filed under: Bemisia tabaci
Lineage: Eukaryota; Metazoa; Arthropoda; Insecta; Hemiptera; Aleyrodidae
Description: lncRNA ENSSSA2NGG000654
Source: RNAcentral
GGAAUGAAAACAGUCUCUCAGUUGGCUGCAGCUUCUCCUACCGAGCACGGUUCGUUCACAGGGGUCAAUUUUUUCUGGAGAUUAAGAAAGUGCCGAGGGUCCGUUUAAAGUUUUAAGUAUCAAACUUUAAUGCAUUGCGUUACCGUCCGAUUUUCGAAAAGAUGAAGUUAGUCGCAGUGCUGACAGUAGCUGUGUGGCUCAGUCUUUACGCUCAAGUUGACAGCGUAUUCUACAUCGAGAUUGCGGGAGAUAAAGAGCCAGCAGAUGGGGCAAAUCCAGUCCAAUCGGCUUUGCUACCACAAUCGGAACCAGAACAAGGCGAUUCAGGCUCAUGUAGAAGUCUCAGAACACUCGGUCAAAAGCCAAUCAAAGGAGGAACGUAUCUCUGUUCUUAUGAAGAACCAAAAACGAUGAAGUGCAUAGAACCAGAUGAUACGGUGAAGUCAGAUAUAAACUACAAUGCCAACUUCUUCGUCGUUAGCAAGCCUCAACUCGCUACAGACUAUACCCUAUUUAUCAACGAUGUGAAACUUAAAUCACUCCCAGAUGUCAUGAUGGUUGGGUUUUCGGUGACUGGGGAGAGAGAGAAUCCGAUUUUUACUCCGCACAAAACCUGCUAUGAUAAGCAGGAAAUCGUGCGCGCCGAGGCUUUUCGCAACUUCCUUCCGAGCGAUACAAAGAAACAAAUGCAACUUACGAACUUCUUCUGCUGCACCAAUCCACAUUCGUGCCUUUUUGGCAAUCCUGUAUAUGUCAUCGAUAAUUACUUUCCGGUCAUCCGAGAUAUCCUGCAAAAAUGUAUUGAUGAAGAUGAAAAACCACCACCAUCGAAAAAAGAAUUGAGGAAGUCGAGAACUAAUAAAGGUGACCAGCCGGCCCCAACAGCAUCAGGAAAGACGACAUUAAAUAAGUCAAAGUCGUUCGUCUCAAACUUACUCGGUAAAUGGAAUGUAGGGAGAACCUUGGAACCACUCGGAUCAAUGAGGGGAUUCAAAAAAAUUUCCAACGUCCUCUCUCGACAGGGCUCAGGGAAUUCGUACGCAUCGGAUUCAGACUCGGAAAAUGGCAACACUUCUCAAAAAAGUCAGGUUCGACCAGUCCAUCAAAAUUUAAUUCAAAAUCUAGGAUCCCGUCUCUAGAUCUGAGCGUGGAGGGUGAUGACACUAUUGACUUGAUUGAGCAAUACCAGCUGGCAAUGAGAAAUCUCGACGAUGUCAUGAAAUAAUGCUCAACCGACUCAUUGACCCGUGCGUACUCAUGAAUGAAGAAGGAGUCGCUAAUGAUAAGAAUCGAAAAAAAGUUCUUCAGAGUACUUGCCAGACUUACUGUGAAUUCUUGGGAGUCGCGACCGGUAGGCUGACGUCAAAAGUACCUUGAAAUUGGUAAUUGAUUACAUCAGAGGAAAGCCGAAGAAUGUGGUGACAUGCAAGAAAUUCAACCGCGGGGAAUGUGUCAAAUCGGCUCACAGUACAAACUAUUUUUGUAAGUGUUUCAUGAAGGAUCGAAGAGGUAAAUUGGAUUCCGGGAGAAGGAUGGUUUUUUGUGACAACCAUCUCAGAAAUUUCCUCACCCCAAUAUCGAUGUGCAAGUAAGAAAAAAGUUUAAGGAGAGUGAAUUUCGUGAAUGCCCAAGAAAUCUCGCCCAG